This 435-nucleotide ribosomal RNA is filed under the name uncultured bacterium. RNAcentral describes it as "partial 16S ribosomal RNA". It matches the Rfam family "Bacterial small subunit ribosomal RNA", at positions 29 to 507 of the family's 1533-position model. The record is from RNAcentral.
AGCGAACGCUGGCGGCAGGCUUAACACAUGCAAGUCGAGCGGGCACUUUCGGGUGUCAGCGGCGGACGGGUGAGUAACGCGGGGGAACGUGCCCUCUGGUUCGGAAUAACUCAGGGAAACUUGAGCUAAUACCGGAUACGCCCUUUUGGGGAAAGGCUUGCUGCCGGAGGAUCGGCCCGCGUCUGAUUAGCUAGUUGGUGAGGUAACGGCUCACCAAGGCGACGAUCAGUAGCUGGUCUGAGAGGAUGAUCAGCCACACUGGGACUGAGACACGGCCCAGACUCCUACGGGAGGCAGCAGUGGGGAAUAUUGGGCAAUGGGCGCAAGCCUGAUCCAGCCAUGCCGCGUGAGUGAUCAAGGCCUUAGGGUUGUAAAGCUCUUUUAUCCGGGACGAUAAUGACGGUACCGGAGGAAUAAGCCCCGGCUAACUUCGUG